CUUGACGAUCAUAGAGCGUUGGAACCACCUGAUCCCUUCCCGAACUCAGAAGUGAAACGAC
RNAcentral lists this ribosomal RNA (61 nucleotides) under Pseudomonas aeruginosa. Lineage: Bacteria; Pseudomonadati; Pseudomonadota; Gammaproteobacteria; Pseudomonadales; Pseudomonadaceae. RNAcentral also lists the same sequence under 1 other name. The record is from RNAcentral.